This 253-nucleotide ribosomal RNA is filed under the name uncultured bacterium. RNAcentral's name for it is "partial 16S ribosomal RNA". It matches the Rfam family "Bacterial small subunit ribosomal RNA", at positions 524 to 776 of the family's 1533-position model. The record is from RNAcentral.
UACGGAGGGUGCGAACGUUGAUCGGAAUCACUGGGCGUAAAGCGCGCGUAGGCGGUCUGUUAAGUGGGAUGUGAAAUCCCCGGGCUUAACCUGGGAAUUGCAUUUCAAACUGGCCGACUAGAGUACGGUAGAGGGAGGUAGAAUUUCCUGUGUAGCGGUGAAAUGCGUAGAUAUAGGAAGGAAUACCAGUGGCGAAGGCGGCCUCCUGGAUCGAUACUGACGCUGAGGCGCGAAAGCGUGGGGAGCAAACAGG